GAUGAGAACGUAGUGAAAUGCGAUAAGUAGUGUGAAUUGCAGAAUUCAGUGAAUCAUCGAAUCUUUGAACGCACAUUGCGCCCUUUGGUAUUCCUUAGGGCAUGCCUGUUCGAGCGUCAUUUAAACCUUCAAGCUAAGCUUGGUGUUGGGUGACUGUCCGCUUCACGGCGGACUCGCCUCAAAAUUAUUGGCGGCCGGUACAUUGGCUUCGAGCGCAGCAGAAACGCGAACUCGGGCCCGUCGUAUUGGCUCCCAGAAGCUAUCUUCACAAUUUUGACCUCGGAUCAGGUAGGGAUACCCGCUGAACUUAAGCAUAUCAAUAAGCGGAGGA
This 331-nucleotide unclassified non-coding RNA is filed under the name soil metagenome. RNAcentral's name for it is "partial contains 5.8S ribosomal RNA, internal transcribed spacer 2, and large subunit ribosomal RNA". The stretch from base 5 to 119 matches the Rfam family "5.8S ribosomal RNA", at positions 40 to 154 of the family's 154-position model. The record is from RNAcentral.